GAGAGCCUAGAGAGUUGGGCUAGUAGAUUAGGAUAGAUUGGGAGAAGAGGAGAGUGGAUUUCGAUCAAAAACAGAUGGGAGGAGCAAAGAGAGAGUUUUGGAAAACAGAUAGAAACUUAGUGGGUGUGAGAGGGAAACUUAGUUUGGUCUUGUCUCUGUGUAAGGUAGGAUUCUCAUCCCCUUUGGUAUUUUCGAAUUCAGUUCUUGAGAUAUCAAUUACCUUGAUCCUUGAUUCUUAUUUUUGUUCAAUUAUAUGUUUUCUAUGAUUAAUUAUACAGUAGUAUUUGGACUUCGAAUUCACAGACCUGGUUAGAUAUCAGAGUUAGUUAGAAUUUCAUUAUGUUUUGAUUAGAAGUCGUAGUGAUUGCAGCUCUAAAAGAACGGUGUUCUUGAUAUGUUUUUGAGUUGGGUGUCCAAAUCAGAUUUUGGAUCCUUUUGAUUCAUUGUUGGUUGUGUUUAGGAACAUCUUAGAGCUCUGGAAAUGUUGUCUAACUGUUUUGAAGCUUUAUAAUCUCUUUUACUACUCCAUAAAUCGAAUCAAAGUCUUCAAAUUCGAAAUUUCAUGUUGCUGGAAAUUUUCCAGAAAAGUGCAAAAAACCAUGAUUUCGAACCAACUUUACAACAUCAUAACUUUUAGCUCAGUUCUUUGUUUUCGAUUCCAAAAGUGGUAUUGUAAACUUCAUAUAUCCCUCUAUAUACGUACCAAAUUUCGUUAGUUUUGGGUUACUUUUGGAAUGUGAAAAUCCUUACCCAAAUCUGUCACUUACACAGCUAUAUCUGUUUUUACUGGUGCAUAUCAGUAGACUUUCAAAAUUCAUAACUAUUUCUAGAAAAAUCAUUUUCAGGUGAUUCAACUUCUAAGAUCUUCAUUAGGAUGUCUAGUUUAUUUCCUUAGAAGACCACGAAGUUAAAUUCUUUAUGGUUUUACCUAGAUUCCAUUGUGAAAGGGACUGGGUCAGGAAACUGUUUUGGUACUAGUUGUGUUAAGAUGGAUUACUUGUGGUUUACUUCGAAUCCUUUGUUUGUUAAAGUGUCCAGACAGUAAAUUGCUUAAUGUUACGACAUUAAGUUAUAUUUUUUUGGUCUAAUUGAAAGUUCCUUGUGUUGAGUUGCUUUAAGGUAGUUACUAACUUUGUAUGUACUUUACCAUUUGGUAAGGUUCCGAGGAGGUCAUUGGUGAUCCACAAGAGUAGGCAACGGAGCUAGAGCUCGGGUUUGCGCUGCGCAAUUCGAGGUAGGGUUUGAUGGGGUGUUUUUUUUAUGUUGUGAUUAUGCUUGAAUUGUUUGGCUAUUGUUGGAGUUGUUUGACAUUGAUGUAUGCGAUAUUGUUGGCAUUGUUUGAUAUUGAACUGUUCUUUUGACUUAGAUAUAUGAUCAUUGGAGAUUAUGCUUAUUGAUUUGAUUAUGAUAUGCUCAUAUAUGAAAGCAUGUUCUAUUUGAUUUAUUAUUACAUGACAUUGUGGGAAAAGUGAGCACAUGAUGGAAGUUGAAAAAGGAAUGAGUUCUUGGGAUUGUAUGGGAUAUUGCUAUUAGGAAAUCGUUUGUGUAGUUGAGUUUCCUCAUAGGGCAUCCAAGACCUACAGUAGCCCACAUGUGCACAAAGAGGGGAGUGAAGCCCCAUCGACGCCGGAGUCGAUAAAACUAUCUAAUCGGGUUUCGGGUUUGGAGACCAUGAGUAUAACAAGAUGACUAACAAAUGAGAAGAGUUUUAUGAGGGUGAUGUGAAGUGGGAAGAGUUGAGUCGAACAUUGCAUACUUGCAUUCUUAAUAUGUUUAUUUGUUUAAUUGCCAUUGUUGCGAUGUGCUAUAUUUAUUUAUCUAGUAUUGUUAAGUGUAGCUCACCCCAUUCAAACCCAUUGCAGGUGUUUUCUCGAAGUGUUUUGGAAAUCUUAUAAUGCAAAUUAGAAUUUUCUUGGUUUUGUUUGUAAAUAGAGAUUGAAUAAAGAAUAGACGUUAUGAGGAGUAACGCUAUUCUUGUUUUGGUUUGUUUGCUGUUUGUUUGUAAAUACUUUAAACCUGUGUGCUUUUAGCACCCUUUUUAAAGGUUUGUAAUAUAAAUAAAGGUGCGAUCGUUUCUUUUCUUACGUCAUGUAAUGAUAUCAGUCUCAUUUUAAUUAUGGAUAUUAAACUGUCUGUAAUUAGAGUGUGAUUCACAUCUCAACUCGAGAUUAUACCUUUACUCGAGUUGGGGUGUGACACAAACUUUGCAGAUGUGGUGUAGAAGGUCCAUAGGAAACCCACCAAAUUAAAGGCUCAAAAUGAAACUUAUUCUCCAGAGCUUCGGCCGAUGAAUAAUCACCCAUGUUUAAUGAAAAAUAUGCAAAUUCUUCCAUCACUUUGUUACGAAUAUAAGCAUCCGGAUAGAGCUUUUGAAGACAUUUCUUCCUUUCAUUGUUGAGAUCAACAUCUCUAUGUGGAGCAAUCCGGUUAGGAUCCUCUUCAAGCCAUUGAGAGCUAUAGUACCUUGGAUUCAAAGAAUGUGUCAUGCAAUGAAGUGGUCUACAACUCUUGGUCCACUGAGCAAUAAAGAUAGGAUGCACCACAUCAUAGAAUCUUGUCACAUUACAAUGCUCUGUUAUGACAUAGGCAAAUUGAGGGUCAAAAACCGCUUUCUUCACUUUCACAAUCAUCGAAUCCCACCACUCAUAAACUAAGUGAAGGCAAGGUCUAUCCAUAUCCGACAUCCUUAUCAUCUCAUGUAUAAGACUCAUGAGGGCAAUCAUGAAAUCAAUUUGCUCCCAAAAGCUUUUCUUCAAUAGCAUCUCCUUCACCGCUCUUGCUUUAGGAACAUUAUAUUCUUUAUAGAUAUCCCAUUUUGGACUAAUAACCAUUUGUUGCAAGCCACUCUUCACAUCCCUAAACCUUUUAAGGACAACAUAAUGAGAAGCAAACCUUGUCUGGGCAACUUGGAGCAACUUCAAGGAACAAUGAUCAUUAUACAUAGACAAACGCAUGUUGUGGUUUACCAUAAAAUUCUUAAUGAACCAAACAUCAUUAUACACAUCCAUAAGCCACCCUAGCUCUUCAUCCACCUUCUCACCGGGAAGAUAAGAUUUUGCUUUCAACAAAUCCUUCAAAGCAAGGUUAAGGGUAUGAACCACACAUGGUGUCCAAAAUAUGUGUGGAUGUGUACUCUCAACAAUAGCACCGGCAGCAGAGCACACAUGUGCAUUAUCGGUCACCACUUGAACCACAUUAUCCGGACCAAUCUCAUUGAUGGAUUCCAAAAGCAAUCUUGAUAUUUCAUUCUUGUCUUUAUACACAUCAUCACAAUUAAUUGCUUUCAACAUCAUUGCCCCUUCUUUAGCAGCAGCCAUCAUAUU
Molecule: long non-coding RNA, 3323 nt
Filed under: Fragaria vesca (wild strawberry)
Lineage: Eukaryota; Viridiplantae; Streptophyta; Magnoliopsida; Rosales; Rosaceae
Description: long non-coding RNA (FVES_LNC000085)
Source: RNAcentral